ACAGUUGGUGCCGCAGGCUACGGCUUGCGGAGAAUAGGGAAACAGGUGAGAAGCCUGUGCGAUCUCGUCACUGUAUACAGGAAUGUAUCGCAAAAUAUGUCACUGAGAAAUUGGGAAGGCUGCGAUACGUGUUUUAAUCUGUGAGCCAGGAGACCUGCCAGCUGUG
Molecule: non-coding RNA, 166 nt
Filed under: uncultured Blautia sp.
Lineage: Bacteria; Bacillati; Bacillota; Clostridia; Lachnospirales; Lachnospiraceae
Source: RNAcentral